This 717-nucleotide ribosomal RNA is filed under the name Stethojulis bandanensis (red shoulder wrasse). RNAcentral describes it as "partial 12S ribosomal RNA". The stretch from base 1 to 476 matches the Rfam family "Bacterial small subunit ribosomal RNA", at positions 866 to 1533 of the family's 1533-position model. Lineage: Eukaryota; Metazoa; Chordata; Actinopteri; Labriformes; Labridae. The record is from RNAcentral.
UAUCCGCCCGGGAACUACGAGCGUCAGCUUGAAACCCAAAGGACUUGGCGGUGCUUUAGAUCCACCUAGAGGAGCCUGUUCUAGAACCGAUGAUCCCCGUUAAACCUCACCUUUCCUUGUUCCUUUCCGCCUAUAUACCGCCGUCGUCAGCUUACUCUGUGAAGAAUAAGCAGUAAGCGCAAUCGGCACAGCCCAAAACGCCAGGUCGAGGUGUAGCGAAUGGAAAGGGAAGAAAUGGGCUACAUUCAAUAGUAAUAAUGCACACGGAUGGUGCUCUGAAAGAGGCACCUGAAGGAGGAUUUAGAAGUAAGCCGGGAAUAGAGUGCCCUGCUGAAACUGGCCCUGAAGCGCGUACACACCGCCCGUCACUCUCCCCGAAAAAAACACCAACCAUUUCUAAUAAACCAAAAUAAUAGAGGGGAGGCAAGUCGUAACAUGGUAAGUGUACCGGAAGGUGCACUUGGAUAAAAUCCAGAGCAUAGCUAAACAACGUAUAGCAUCUCCCUUACACUGAGAAGGUAUCCGUGCAACCCGGAUUGCCCUGACACCCAGCAGCUAGCCCCCAACCCCCUUAAAAAUAACAAACCCUAUCAACUAAAUCUAAAUUACCCGACGCAAAACCAAACAAACCAUUUUUCCCCCCUAGUAUGGGAGACAGAAAAGGAAACACUUGGCGCAAUAAAGAAAGUACCGCAAGGGAAAGCUGAAAGAGAAAUG